This 505-nucleotide ribosomal RNA is filed under the name uncultured Geobacter sp. RNAcentral's name for it is "bacterial SSU rRNA". It matches the Rfam family "Bacterial small subunit ribosomal RNA", at positions 335 to 831 of the family's 1533-position model. The record is from RNAcentral. Lineage: Bacteria; Pseudomonadati; Thermodesulfobacteriota; Desulfuromonadia; Geobacterales; Geobacteraceae.
ACUCCUACGGGAGGCAGCAGUGGGGAAUUUUGCGCAAUGGGGGAAACCCCGACGCAGCAACGCCGCGUGAGUGAUGAAGGCCCUUGGGUCGUAAAGCUCUGACAGAGGGAAAGAAGUGUAGAGUGGCUAAUAUCCACAUUACUUGACGGUACCCUCAAAGGAAGCACCGGCUAACUCCGUGCCAGCAGCCGCGGUAAUACGGGGGGUGCAAGCGUUGUUCGGAUUUAUUGGGCGUAAAGCGCGUGUAGGCGGUUUUAUAAGUCUGAUGUGAAAGCCCUGGGCUCAACCCGGGAAGUGCAUUGGAUACUGUAAGACUUGAAUACGGGAGAGGGUAGUGGAAUUCCUAGUGUAGGAGUGAAAUCCGUAGAUAUUAGGAGGAACACCGGUGGCGAAGGCGGCUACCUGGACCGAUAUUGACGCUGAGACGCGAAAGCGUGGGUAGCAAACAGGAUUAGAUACCCUGGUAGUCCACGCCGUAAACGAUGAGAACUAGGUGUUGCGGGUA